GAUGAACGCUAGCUACAGGCUUAACACAUGCAAGUCGCGGGGCAGCAUGGGGGUUGCUUGCAAUCCCCGAUGGCGACCGGCGCACGGGUGAGUAACGCGUAUCCAACCUGCCCUUCACCACGGGAUAACCCGGCGAAAGUCGGACUAAUACCGUAUGUUGUCCAUUGACGGCCUCCGAUUUGGACGAAAGGCUGGGCGGUGAGGGAUGGGGAUGCGUCCGAUUAGCCAGACGGCGGGGUAACGGCCCACCGUGGCUACGAUCGGUAGGGGUUCUGAGAGGAAGGUCCCCCACACUGGGACUGAGACACGGUCCAGACUCCUACGGGAGGCAGCAGUGAGGAAUAUUGGUCAAUGGGCGUAAGCCUGAACCAGCCAAGUAGCGUGCAGGAUGACGGCCCUAUGGGUUGUAAACUGCUUUUAUGCGGGGAUAAAGUGGCCCACGUGUGGGCUUUUGCAGGUACCGCAUGAAUAAGGACCGGCUAAUUCCGUG
This 490-nucleotide ribosomal RNA is filed under the name uncultured bacterium. Its description in RNAcentral is "partial 16S ribosomal RNA". It matches the Rfam family "Bacterial small subunit ribosomal RNA", at positions 28 to 507 of the family's 1533-position model. The record is from RNAcentral.